Molecule: non-coding RNA, 90 nt
Organism: Acanthosepion pharaonis
Lineage: Eukaryota; Metazoa; Mollusca; Cephalopoda; Sepiida; Sepiidae
Source: the annotation of a GenBank genome assembly
AACGGUCCCCGUAAGAACAACGAAGUUAAGCAACGUCAAGCCUUGCUAGUACCUAGAUGGGUGACCGCUUGGGGAUACCAGCUGCUGUAA